AAAAUGAGACAAAAUUAGGAUUCAUAUAUUAUAAAAUCUUAUUGGAUUAUGGAGCUCCGGUGAAGUAUUGCCGAUGAACUCAGGUCAACGCAUAUCGCUAAAAUAACUUCAUCACGGAAAUAACUAAGUUGAACGGGUAAACAAACUCAAACAUAUUAUGGUUGAUGCCAAUAGAAUUAGGUGUUGCUGCUUCCGUUGUAGAGCGCGGGUGUGACGAAUGUUCCGAUGGAGAAAUUUGCAGCUGUCAGGAUUUCACUGGUGAUGAUACAAUGACGGAUUAUACGAGGGUCACUAUUUAUAUUUCGGGAAUUGGCCACACUGAUGUCAUGUGAGUCCAUCUGACGGUUCCAUCGUAAAGUUUGACAUUUUUGACGAUAUACGUACUCAGAACAUUUUGUCAUACGGACGCUAUUUGUUUAUUUUAUAUUUAGUUGAAAGUUUGGUCUCGGCAAAAAAAAUGGAACUGAAUGUUCACACAUU
Long non-coding RNA from Toxorhynchites rutilus septentrionalis, 480 nucleotides. RefSeq lists it as uncharacterized. The record is from RefSeq and is a predicted model, not a curated record. The transcript is spliced from 3 exons. Lineage: Eukaryota; Metazoa; Arthropoda; Insecta; Diptera; Culicidae.